CACUGCUCUAAGGGACCCCAACACCAGGUGUGGACGUGCUUCUUCUGCAGGAUGGGGUUGCAGACAGGGCAGAAGCAAAGGAGGCCACACUCCCGCACCCUUGGGGACACUCACUUCUCGGUGCCACGCACUCCCUCCUUAGGUUUUCUCCCAGUCUGAAACGCGUUAGUCCCCACGAAGACGCAGCUCACCCUGCCAUGCCUUUCCAGGAAACGCCACUGUGGGGCGCGCGGCCCACAUAGUGAGUCGCCCACCAGCAAGUCAGGAAGGGGCGGGCGUCUUGGCUCCAGCUCAGUGUUUUCCUCCGCGGAGCGCGGGUCCGGGCCUGACCUGGGCGGUCUCGUUCUCACUCCAGGCUGUUGGCUCGCCCUCCCGGGCCACAUCAGGCGUGCAGGUGUGGCGCCCGCUGAAAAGAGCUUUUGCGGCCGUGGCGGGGCUCGCAAGGAGGAGCCAGCCGGUUCUCCAGUCCUCGGAAGGGCGCCCCCGAUGCUCUCCACCUGCCUGUCCCUCCUGAAAGCAGCCGGACAGCUCCCCGGGCCUCGGCCCUGCUCCCCGCCCUCCCCUCACUGGCCCGGCUGGCUGCGUCGGGGCAGACCCUUCUGCAAGCACGACAGAGAUAAAUGGCUGCAGCUGGAGACUGGGCUAAUUGAUACAAUAAGUUCUGUAAUUGCCUCGAAAAUAAGGUUGCUCUGGCGAGUGCUGGGCACACAGCAGGUGCUCAAUAAGUGCCGAGUUGACUCCAUGCAGGGCCCUCCAGACCAGAACUUGGCUCCCAAAUCAGUGAUUCCUCCCCUGGCUCACAGUACGUGGAGUGGGGGGUAGGGCAUGGGAAGAAGGAGCAGGUCAGGGCUAGCCUGAGUCUCUGGCCUUGACCCUGUGCCUGGAAGCCCCACAACAGGCCCUUGCGUGAGGAGCUGAGCUCUCCAGUAGCGUCUCGGACCUUGAGACUGCAAGUUUAUUUUGAGAUUUGAAGCUCCAAAGUGGCAGAUCCCAGAAAGCCUCUUCUCUGGCUCCGUAUUUGUCCUCUAGUUAAGUGGCUGAGUGCAGCUCUUGCAGUCAGCUGGCUCCUGCAGCCUGGGGUUCCUCCCGGGGAUCUAGGGGCUCAGAAGACAGAGGAAGAAGAGGAAGGAGCAAAGCCCCAUCCUGGGUUGUCCACUCUAGGCCAGAGGUAGCCUCUAGGCAUUGGGGAGAAGUCUUGUCCCCUUAUCCGCUUCCCUCCCUCUUGGAGCUGCUGAUGUUUCUGGGGGCCCCCUCAGCUCAGCAACAUGCUUUCAUAGUUGAAC
This 1283-nucleotide long non-coding RNA is filed under the name Equus asinus (donkey). RNAcentral describes it as "lncRNA (ENSEASG00005025314.1)". Lineage: Eukaryota; Metazoa; Chordata; Mammalia; Perissodactyla; Equidae. The record is from RNAcentral.